This 552-nucleotide ribosomal RNA is filed under the name uncultured bacterium. RNAcentral describes it as "bacterial SSU rRNA". It matches the Rfam family "Bacterial small subunit ribosomal RNA", at positions 353 to 896 of the family's 1533-position model. The record is from RNAcentral.
AGUGGGGAAUAUUGGACAAUGGGGGCAACCCUGAUCCAGCAAUGCCGCGUGUGUGAAGAAGGCCUGCGGGUUGUAAAGCACUUUUAUCGGGGAAGAAUAGGUUGUCGUUAAUAGCGCCAACACUUGACAUUACCCGUUGAAUAAGCACCGGCUAACUCCGUGCCAGCAGCCGCGGUAAUACGGAGGGUGCGAGCGUUAAUCGGAAUUACUGGGCGUAAAGCGUGCGUAGGCGGAAGCUUAAGUCUGAUGUGAAAGCCCCGGGCUUAACCUGGGAAUGGCAUUGGAAACUGGGUUUCUAGAGUGUGGUAGAGGAUAGUGGAAUUUCCAGUGUAGCGGUGAAAUGCGUAGAUAUUGGAAAGAACACCGAUGGCGAAGGCAGCUAUCUGGGCCAACACUGACGCUGAGGUACGAAAGCGUGGGGAGCAAACAGGAUUAGAUACCCUGGUAGUCCACGCCCUAAACGAUGUCGACUUGUCGUUGGGGGAGUUUAAUCCUUCAGUGACGGAGCUAACGCGUUAAGUCGACCGCCUGGGGAGUACGGCCGCAAGGUUG